RNAcentral lists this ribosomal RNA (489 nucleotides) under uncultured bacterium. RNAcentral describes it as "partial 16S ribosomal RNA". It matches the Rfam family "Bacterial small subunit ribosomal RNA", at positions 28 to 507 of the family's 1533-position model. The record is from RNAcentral.
GAUGAACGCUAGCGGCAGGCCUAAUACAUGCAAGUCGUGGGGCAGCAGGACUGUAGCAAUACAGUUGCUGGCGACCGGCAAACGGGUGCGGAACACGUAUGCAACUUACCCUGAACUGGGGGAUAGCCCGGGGAAACCCGGCUGAAUACCCCGUAAUAGAAUGGAGUGGCAUCACUCUAUUAUUAAAGCUUCGGCGGAUCGGGAUGGGCGUGCGGCUGAUUAGGUGGUUGGUUGAGGUAACGGCUCACCAAGCCUACGAUCAGUAACUGGUGUGAGGGCACGACCAGUCGCACGGGCGCUGCGGCCCUGGCCCGACUCCUACGGGAGGCAGCGGUAUGGAAUAUUGAGCACUGGAGGCUACUCUGACCCAGCCAUGCCGCGUGGGGGAUGAAGGCCCUCUUGGUUGUAAUCUUCUUUUAUAGGGGACGAGACCUGUGUAUUCUUGCGCAGUUGACGGUACCCUAGGAAUAAGCACCGGCUAACUCCGUG